RNAcentral lists this ribosomal RNA (580 nucleotides) under Triticum aestivum (bread wheat). RNAcentral's name for it is "partial small subunit ribosomal RNA". Lineage: Eukaryota; Viridiplantae; Streptophyta; Magnoliopsida; Poales; Poaceae. The record is from RNAcentral.
AAAGCCACCUCGCGGCGCCCAUCCCUGGCGCCGCCCCGCCCUGUCACCGCCUCCUCCUCACCUCACCCCCGAGUCGCCCCCGACGCCCGUCCGCGCGCCGCCCUCGAUCUGGAACUGGGACUCCGUCCCGAUGCCACAGCCGCUUGGAGUCCCCCUCGCCGGAGCCACGACACCGCCGAACCGCGACCUCGUCUCCUCCUCGCGCCGCUUCAUCAAGCCUCAUCGCCCCCGUUCCUCUACGCGCCCACCCCGAGACCGAUGCCGCCGCUGCGAUCGACUACGUCUCUGACGAGCCUUCUUCCUUUUCAACAGAGCUUCCAGGCAAGCAAACCCCCCAUGACGGAUUCCAGGAGCCAAACGACACCACUGAUGACUACUACAACCCCGAGGGUGCCUACUACGUGACGACCGCUGACGACCUGGAGUAGUUAGGAGGCUCCCAGGCAGGAGGCCUUGCCUUUUUGAUCAAUGUUGCUUUUGUGCUAGCCUUCUUAAGGCAAAACUUGUUUAACUUAUGUCUGUACUCAGAUAUUGUUGCUUCCGCUGACUCUUGUGUAUUCGAGCCCUUGAGGCCCCUGGC